UGAGGAAUAUUGGACAAUGGAGGCAACUCUGAUCCAGCCAUGCCGCGUGCAGGAAGACUGCCCUAUGGGUUGUAAACUGCUUUUAUACAGGAAGAAACACCUCUACGUGUAGAGGCUUGACGGUACUGUAAGAAUAAGGAUCGGCUAACUCCGUGCCAGCAGCCGCGGUAAUACGGAGGAUCCAAGCGUUAUCCGGAAUCAUUGGGUUUAAAGGGUCCGUAGGUGGAUAAUUAAGUCAGAGGUGAAAUCUUGCAGCUCAACUGUAAAAUUGCCUUUGAAACUGGUUAUCUUGAGUUAUUAUGAAGUAGUUAGAAUAUGUAGUGUAGCGGUGAAAUGCAUAGAUAUUACAUAGAAUACCAAUUGCGAAGGCAGAUUACUAAUAAUCAACUGACACUGAUGGACGAAAGCGUGGGUAGCGAACAGGAUUAGAUACCCUGGUAGUCCACGCCGUAAACGAUGGUUACUAGCUGUUUGGACUUCGGUCUGAGUGGCUAAGCGAAAGUGAUAAGUAACCCACCUGGGGAGUACGUUCGCAAGAAUG
This 541-nucleotide ribosomal RNA is filed under the name uncultured Bacteroidota bacterium. RNAcentral's name for it is "bacterial SSU rRNA". It matches the Rfam family "Bacterial small subunit ribosomal RNA", at positions 355 to 896 of the family's 1533-position model. Lineage: Bacteria; Pseudomonadati; Bacteroidota. The record is from RNAcentral.